This 311-nucleotide ribosomal RNA is filed under the name uncultured bacterium. RNAcentral's name for it is "bacterial SSU rRNA". It matches the Rfam family "Bacterial small subunit ribosomal RNA", at positions 28 to 334 of the family's 1533-position model. The record is from RNAcentral.
GACGAACGCUGGCGGCGCGCCUAACACAUGCAAGUCGAACGAGCGAGAGAGAGCUUGCUUUCUCGAGCGAGUGGCGAACGGGUGAGUAACGCGUGAGGAACCUGCCUUCAAGAGGGGACGAACAGUUGGAAACGGACUGCUAAUACCGCAUGACACAUUGAGGGGGCGAUCCCUUUGAUGUCAAAGAUUUAUCGCUGAAAGAUGGCCUCGCGUCCCAUUAGCUAGUUGGUGAGGUAACGGCCCACCAAGGCGACGAUGGGUAGCCGGACUGAGGGGUUGACCGGCCACAUUGGGACUGAGAUACGGCCCAG